AGCAGCAGCACCUCCGUUCUGAACGCUGACGGCUUCUACAGCUGGAGCAGCACACUGAGCCUCCACCCGGAGCAGUGGAGGAACAAGGUGGUGACCUGUGAGGCCUCCAAAGACAACCAACCUACUGUGACCCAGUAACAAAUGUUACAGUAUCAUCCCUCUUUAACAUCAAGCACGUAACAACGACACUGAAGAUGUCUUCGGCACAGGGAGGGUGGUAGUGUUCUUGAGACAUGUUGGUACGACAGCACUGCUCAGUGGAAUGUUGGAAAUGUCAGUGAAGACAUCAACCAGCUGUUCUGCACAUCCUCUGAGCACUCUGCUAGCUGGUCCGAUGGUGAAGCCCUCCGUGUCUCUGCUCCCUCCCUCCUCUCUGCAGCGCUCUGAGGGAACGGCCUCACUGCUCUGCCUGCUCUCGGCCUAUUCUCCACAGGGGGCGCUGCUGAGCUGGACCGUGGAUGGUGCUGAGGUGAACGAGGGGGUUCUGACCAGCACAGAAGAACAGAAGAAUGGUGACUACAGACGCAGCAGCACCCUGACCGCCAGCAAAGAACGCUGGGAAGAGGCUGAGGUGUUCGGCUGUACCGUCUCCCACCACGACACCACUCAGGUCGCCUCGUUCCGAAAGAGCCGCUGUGAAGUCCACUAGAAUUCAAGUGUACGCUUUAAACCAUGCUUAGCAGUCUGAGGUGAUGUCAGUGGUGUAGCUCUGCUGAAAUAAAGCUUCAAUGUGGAAAGCAGGUCUCCUUUUUCAUUAGUGAAGUGUCUUUGGCAGAGAUUUGGAACAGCACCUUUAACAGCAGGUCGAGUGCAGCGCUGUGUGUUGUGCUUGAGUGAGUUUAGCUGAAGAACCAUGAACAUCUGCUGAAAGUGGUGAUUUAUUCUGCAUCUUAGUGCAGUUCAUGCAAAUGUGUGUGUGUGUGUGUGUGUAUUUCACUCUUCAAUCUGCCUCUUUAUAUACAACCAGGUGAGGAGGAACACUUUCACGUCUUAUUUCUUUGAUUGGUCAGAAUUUGUAAACUAUAA
Non-coding RNA from Hemibagrus wyckioides, 1026 nucleotides. The record is from the annotation of a RefSeq genome assembly. NCBI's taxonomy places the organism in Eukaryota, Metazoa, Chordata, Actinopteri, Siluriformes, Bagridae.